GAUUCCCUAUGGGUUGGCCUGGCCAACAUCUCUGCAAUUAUUUCCUAUGGGUUGACCUGGCUGACAUUUCUGUUAUUGAUUCCCUAUGGGUUGACCUGGCCAACAUUUCCAUGUAAUGAUUCCCUAUGGGUUGACUUGGCCAACAUCUGUGUAAUGAUUCCCAACAGGUUGACCUGGCCAACAUCUUCACAUAAUGAUUCCCUAUGGGUUGGCCUGGCCAACAUCUCUGCAAUCAUUUCCUAUGGGUUGACCUGGCCGACAUUUCUGUGUAAUGAUUUCCUAUGGGUUGACCUGGCUGACAUUUCUGUUAUUGAUUUCCUAUGGGUUGACCUGGCCAACAUUUCCAUGUAAUGAUUCCCUAUGGGUUGACAUGGCCAACAUUUCCAUCCAAUGAUUCCCUAUGGGUUGACUUUGGGGUGAAUGUUGGGGUUCACAUUGGGGUGACACUGGGGUCAGCACUGGGGUUGACAUUGGGGUCGACUUUGGGUUGAACAUUGGGGUUAACAUUGGAGUGGACUUUGGGGUCAACAUUGGGGUUGACAUUGGGGUUAAGAUUGGGGUUGACAUUGGGUUGAAUACUGGGGUUGACUUUGGGGUCAACGUUGGGAUUAACUUUGGUUUUGACAUUGGGGUUAUGAUUGGGGUCAACAUUGGGGUUGACUUUGGGGUCAACAUUGGGGUUAAGAUUGGGGUUGACAUUGGGGUUGACAUUGGGGUGAACAUUGGGGUUGACUUUGGGGUUGACUUUGGGGUUGGAUUUGGGGUCGAUGUUGGGGUUGACUUUGGGGUUAAGAUUGGGGUUGACAUUGGGGUUGACUUUGGGGUCAACAUUGGGGUUGACUUUGGGGUUGACGUUGAGGUUGACUUUGGGGUGAAUGUUGGGGUUGAUUUUGGGGUGAAUGUCGGGGUUAACUUAGGGGUGAACAUUGGGGUUGACUUUG
This 941-nucleotide long non-coding RNA is filed under the name Phasianus colchicus (ring-necked pheasant). RNAcentral's name for it is "lncRNA (ENSPCLG00000020123.1)". The record is from RNAcentral. Lineage: Eukaryota; Metazoa; Chordata; Aves; Galliformes; Phasianidae.